RNAcentral lists this ribosomal RNA (433 nucleotides) under uncultured bacterium. Its description in RNAcentral is "partial 16S ribosomal RNA". It matches the Rfam family "Bacterial small subunit ribosomal RNA", at positions 29 to 507 of the family's 1533-position model. The record is from RNAcentral.
AACGAACGCUGGCGGCAUGCCUAACACAUGCAAGUCGAACGAGACCUUCGGGUCUAGUGGCGCACGGGUGCGUAACGCGUGGGAACUUGCCCUUAGGUUCGGAAUAACUCCCCGAAAGGGGUGCUAAUACCGGAUAAUGUCUUCGGACCAAAGAUUUAUCGCCUUUGGAUGGGCCCGCGUUGGAUUAGCUAGUUGGUAGGGUAAAAGCCUACCAAGGCGACGAUCCAUAGCUGGUCUGAGAGGAUGAUCAGCCACACUGGGACUGAGACACGGCCCAGACUCCUACGGGAGGCAGCAGUGGGGAAUAUUGGACAAUGGGCGAAAGCCUGAUCCAGCAAUGCCGCGUGAGUGAUGAAGGCCUUAGGGUUGUAAAGCUCUUUUAACCGGGAUGAUAAUGACAGUACCGGGAGAAUAAGCUCCGGCUAACUCCGUG